UACGUAGGGGGCAAGCGUUGUCCGGAUUUAUUGGGCGUCAAGAGCGUGUAGGCGGCCAUACAGGUCAGCUGUGAAAACUCGAGGCUCAACCUCGAGACGUCGGUUGAAACCGUAUGGCUAGAGUCCGGAAGAGGAGAGUGGAAUUCCCGGUGUAGCGGUGAAAUGCGCAGAUAUCGGGAAGAACACCCGUGGCGAAGGCGGCUCUCUGGGACGGUACUGACGCUGAGACGCGAAAGCGUGGGGAGCGAACAGG
Molecule: ribosomal RNA, 253 nt
Filed under: uncultured bacterium
Lineage: Bacteria
Description: partial 16S ribosomal RNA
Rfam family: Bacterial small subunit ribosomal RNA
Source: RNAcentral